GCCGGAGGUCCGUGGUGCGGUGCCCGCGGAGAAGGCGCGCGUGAUCACCAGUCUUCGGAUGCGGACAACGCCCAAGGCUGGC
Molecule: non-coding RNA, 82 nt
Filed under: Florenciella parvula
Lineage: Eukaryota; Dictyochophyceae; Florenciellales
Source: RNAcentral